GACGAACGCUGGCGGCGCGCCUAACACAUGCAAGUCGAACGAGCGAGAGAGAGCUUGCUUUCUUGAGCGAGUGGCGAACGGGUGAGUAACGCGUGAGGAACCUGCCUCAAAGAGGGGGACAACAGUUGGAAACGACUGCUAAUACCGCAUAAGCCCACGGCUCGGCAUCGAGCAGAGGGAAAAGGAGCAAUCCGCUUUGAGAUGGCCUCGCGUCCGAUUAGCUAGUUGGUGAGGUAACGGCCCACCAAGGCGACGAUCGGUAGCCGGACUGAGAGGUUGAACGGCCACAUUGGGACUGAGACACGGCCCAGACUCCUACGGGAGGCAGCAGUGGGGAAUAUUGCACAAUGGGGGAAACCCUGAUGCAGCGACGCCGCGUGGAGGAAGAAGGUCUUCGGAUUGUAAACUCCUGU
This 413-nucleotide ribosomal RNA is filed under the name uncultured bacterium. RNAcentral describes it as "bacterial SSU rRNA". It matches the Rfam family "Bacterial small subunit ribosomal RNA", at positions 28 to 436 of the family's 1533-position model. The record is from RNAcentral.